GAUGAACGCUAGCUACAGGCUUAACACAUGCAAGUCGAGGGGAAACGAUAUUGGAAGCUUGCUUCCGAUAGGCGUCGACCGGCGCACGGGUGAGUAACGCGUAUCCAACCUGCCCAUCACUUGGGGAUAACCUUGCGAAAGUAAGACUAAUACCCAAUGACGUCUCUAGAAGACAUCUGAAGGAGAUUAAAGAUUUAUCGGUGAUGGAUGGGGAUGCGUCUGAUUAGCUUGUUGGCGGGGUAACGGCCCACCAAGGCGACGAUCAGUAGGGGUUCUGAGAGGAAGGUCCCCCACAUUGGAACUGAGACACGGUCCAAACUCCUACGGGAGGCAGCAGUGAGGAAUAUUGGUCAAUGGACGAGAGUCUGAACCAGCCAAGUAGCGUGCAGGAAGACGGCCCUAUGGGUUGUAAACUGCUUUUAUAAGGGAAUAAAGUGAGUCUCGUGAGACUUUUUGCAUGUACCUUAUGAAUAAGGACCGGCUAAUUCCGUGCCAGCCGCCGCAGUAA
Molecule: ribosomal RNA, 508 nt
Filed under: uncultured bacterium
Lineage: Bacteria
Description: partial 16S ribosomal RNA
Rfam family: Bacterial small subunit ribosomal RNA
Source: RNAcentral